This 465-nucleotide ribosomal RNA is filed under the name uncultured bacterium. Its description in RNAcentral is "partial 16S ribosomal RNA". It matches the Rfam family "Bacterial small subunit ribosomal RNA", at positions 28 to 507 of the family's 1533-position model. The record is from RNAcentral.
GACGAACGCUGGCGGCGUGCUUAACACAUGCAAGUCGAAUGGAAAGGCCCUGCUUGCAGGGUACUCGAGUGGCGAACGGGUGAGUAACACGUGGGUGAUCUGCCCUGCACUUCGGGAUAAGCCUGGGAAACUGGGUCUAAUACCGGAUAGGAGCCAUUUUUAGUGUGAUGGUUGGAAAGUUUUUUCGGUGUAGGAUGAGCUCGCGGCCUAUCAGCUUGUUGGUGGGGUAAUGGCCUACCAAGGCGGCGACGGGUAGCCGGCCUGAGAGGGUGGACGGCCACAUUGGGACUGAGAUACGGCCCAGACUCCUACGGGAGGCAGCAGUGGGGAAUAUUGCACAAUGGGCGCAAGCCUGAUGCAGCGACGCCGCGUGGGGGAUGACGGCCUUCGGGUUGUAAACUCCUUUCGCUAGGGACGAAGCUUUUUGUGACGGUACCUAGAGAAGAAGCACCGGCUAACUACGUG